Molecule: transfer RNA, 84 nt
Filed under: Pseudomonadota bacterium
Lineage: Bacteria; Pseudomonadati; Pseudomonadota
Also listed under: 1 other name
Description: tRNA-Leu
Rfam family: tRNA
About the family: Transfer RNA (tRNA) molecules are approximately 80 nucleotides in length.
Source: RNAcentral
GGCUGAGUGGCGGAACCGGCAGACGCAGCGGAUUCAAAAUCCGCCGGGCUCACACCCGUGAGGGUUCGACUCCCUCCUCAGCUA